UGCCACAAUGAUGAUGCUUAUUUGCUACUCUUGACGAAGAGAAUGAUGAGAGCAUUAGCCCACCUAUAUCUCAAACUGAGGCA
Molecule: small nucleolar RNA, 83 nt
Filed under: Pelusios castaneus (West African mud turtle)
Lineage: Eukaryota; Metazoa; Chordata; Testudines; Pelomedusidae
Description: Small nucleolar RNA SNORD24 (ENSPCEG00000001714.1)
Rfam family: Small nucleolar RNA SNORD24
About the family: U24 is a member of the C/D class of snoRNA which contain the C (UGAUGA) and D (CUGA) box motifs. C/D box snoRNAs have been shown to act as methylation guides for a number of RNA targets.
Source: RNAcentral